Molecule: long non-coding RNA, 442 nt
Organism: Drosophila innubila
Lineage: Eukaryota; Metazoa; Arthropoda; Insecta; Diptera; Drosophilidae
Exons: 2
Source: RefSeq, a predicted model, not a curated record
ACAACAACAACAACAACAACAACAACGACAGCCAAAAGCUAAAGAGAGCAACGGCGCCAUUCGGCGAAGCUCUCUCAAUCUUCUCAGGAGUUGUUGUUGCAUUGUUAACAUUGGAUUAUUAGCCCCACAUUUUCCGCUAAGGUACUCAUGUAGGGAAAAUACCAGAAAUCGCCUCAGCAGCAACAACAACAACAACAAAUACAACGUUAACAGCAACGGGACAUGGAUAUUCAUAUGAAAAAACUAACGAAACCACGGUGAGUCAUGAAAACAAACAGAUUAACGACUUUGCAGUGUAAGUAAAGAUUUUGUUAUAGAUAAAUAGAUGUGCGUUUUAUAGGGUACGAUUCGUCAGUCAUGCGAAAGUUAUGCCAAAAUACCGUUGCGUGUCGCAUUGAUAAAGCAACUUGAGUGGAAAUUUAUUGCCAAGUCACUAAAAUCA